Molecule: ribosomal RNA, 465 nt
Filed under: uncultured bacterium
Lineage: Bacteria
Description: partial 16S ribosomal RNA
Rfam family: Bacterial small subunit ribosomal RNA
Source: RNAcentral
AUGAACGCUGGCGGCGUGCUUAACACAUGCACGUCGAACGGAAAGGCCCAAGCUUGCUUGGGUACUCGAGUGGCGAACGGGUGAGUAACACGUGGGUGAUCUGCCCCGCACUUCGGGAUAAGCCUGGGAAACUGGGUCUAAUACCGGAUAGGACCACUUCUUGGAGGUUGUGGUGGAAAGUUUUUUCGGUGUGGGAUGAGCUCGCGGCCUAUCAGCUUGUUGGUGGGGUAAUGGCCUACCAAGGCGUCGACGGGUAGCCGGCCUGAGAGGGUGUACGGCCACAUUGGGACUGAGAUACGGCCCAGACUCCUACGGGAGGCAGCAGUGGGGAAUAUUGCACAAUGGGCGCAAGCCUGAUGCAGCGACGCCGCGUGGGGGAUGACGGCCUUCGGGUUGUAAACUCCUUUCGCUAGGGACGAAGCGCAAGUGACGGUACCUAGAGAAGAAGCACCGGCUAACUACGUG